GUGGGGAAUAUUCCGCAAUGGACGAAAGUCUGACGGAGCAACGCCGCGUGAGUGAUGAAGGUUUUCGGACUGUAAAGCUCUGUUGUUUAGGACGAAAGUGCCUGUUGCAAAUAGUUACAGGUAUUGACGGUACUGAACGAGGAAGCCACGGCUAACUACGUGCCAGCAGCCGCGGUAAUACGUAGGUGGCAAGAGUUGUCCGGAAUUAUUGGGCGUAAAGAGCAUGUAGGCGGGAAUCUAAGUCUGUUGUGAAAAUGCGGGGCUCAACCCCGUAUUGCGAUGGAAACUGGGUUUCUUGAGUGCAGGAGAGGAAAGGGGAAUUCCCAGUGUAGCGGUGAAAUGCGUAGAUAUUGGGAGGAACACCAGUGGCGAAGGCGCCUUUCUGGACUGUGUCUGACGCUGAGAUGCGAAAGCCAGGGUAGCGAACGGGAUUAGAUACCCGAGUAGUCC
This 450-nucleotide ribosomal RNA is filed under the name uncultured bacterium. RNAcentral describes it as "partial 16S ribosomal RNA". It matches the Rfam family "Bacterial small subunit ribosomal RNA", at positions 354 to 796 of the family's 1533-position model. The record is from RNAcentral.